UUCGCCUUCAUGAAGCUGGAAUUGCUAGUAAUGGCAGGUCAGCAUACUGCCGUGAAUACGUUCCCGGGCCUUGUACACACCGCCCGUCACACCAUGAGAGUUGGGAAUACCCGAAGCCUGUGAGCUAACUAUAUGAGGCAGCAGUCGAAGGUAGAAUCAAUGAUUGGGGUGAAGUCGUAACAAGGUAUC
RNAcentral lists this ribosomal RNA (189 nucleotides) under uncultured bacterium. RNAcentral's name for it is "partial 16S ribosomal RNA". It matches the Rfam family "Bacterial small subunit ribosomal RNA", at positions 1311 to 1500 of the family's 1533-position model. The record is from RNAcentral.